Molecule: RNA transcript, 783 nt
Organism: Prosopis cineraria
Lineage: Eukaryota; Viridiplantae; Streptophyta; Magnoliopsida; Fabales; Fabaceae
Exons: 3
Source: RefSeq, a predicted model, not a curated record
AUAGAGAAGCUUACUUUAGAGGCUUGUCACAUGAAUAUCCAUUGCUCCUUUUCCUUUUUCAUUCCCACAUAUUGAACAGAUAAGAUUUCUGGGGUUCCGAUUCUUCUGAGUCCUUUUUGUUACGAGAAAGAGUGCGAUGAUGAAGAAGCUGGCGAAAUGGAAGGUAGCCACAUUUCUUGCUCUAGCUUUAAUAGUAACAGCUUUAAUGUCGGCAACUUCUGUAGAAGCCAAGAGUUUCAGAGGCGGCGGAGGUGUUGGCAAUCACGGCGGAAGAUUCCACCGUCAAGCUGGAGGGAGACGCUCUUCCUCCUCAUCGUCCAUCUCCGGCGAUCAACUUUCCGAAUUUACGGAGUUAAUGGGUUCUACAUUCACCUUAGCUAUCUUUGAAGAAUGCAAUUCUUUACAAUUCUCCAGCCACCAUCGGUAGUGGUCCAACCUGCUGCCGAAGCUUUGACAAUGGAGAUCCAGUGGCUACUAUCAUCAGUAGGCUUCGGUUACUGACAGUGGUGCUCCAGCAACUGUGAGAGAAUACGAUGAAGCUGCUCAGGAAAUGGAAGGAGUCACAUUGCUUGCUUUAGCUCUAACAGUAACGGCUGCAGUGUCAGCAGCUUCUGUAGAAGCUAAGAGUUUCAGAGGUGGCGGAGGUGGUGGCAAUCAUAGAGGAAGAUUCAGCCAUCAAGCUGGAGGAAAGUGGUUUUCCUCCUCAUCGUCCAUCUCCUACGGUCAUAUUUCCGAAUUUAGAUUUAUAGUUCGAAUACUUACUGCCAUUUCUAUGUACUUUGU